This is a non-coding RNA of Styela clava, 863 nucleotides long. NCBI's taxonomy places the organism in Eukaryota, Metazoa, Chordata, Ascidiacea, Stolidobranchia, Styelidae. The record is from RefSeq and is a predicted model, not a curated record.
AUAAUGAACGAAUGUGUUUACCGGCUUCAAUAUUGUAGAAUAUUUUCGAGAUCGCCGCGUUGAAUACCAAUUAGCUGUUGGGCAUGUUGUUGAAUAAUAUGUGUAAAGAACUCUCAGUGUCGUAUUUUCGAAAUGUUUGAAAUGUUUUGAAUUUUUGAAAUGUUUGCUAUUAAUAGUUUUUUAGUCGCUUACGAAUAUACAUUUUUACUUGCUGAUUAUACUUUGUAAGUAAAAUCUAAAAACCAAUUUAAGGUUAUAUGGCGUAACAAUUACAAUUUGUUGUGGUAUAUUGUGCUCUGCAAACGUAAUAUUUGUGACUUUUGACUAUUUUGUAAAUAAAAUCGAUCCAUUUUAUUUGGCAUUGCUCCGAACUGAUAUUGAUUCGAAUCGCUCCUAUUAGGAAUUCUAAACCUCACAUCUGUACUCGCAAAUUAAUUCAUCUUAUAACUUCAAGAUAUAUAUUUUAAAGAUCCAAAUACCAGCUAUGAAGAACGUAUUUAUUUUAAUAGCCAUUGGAGUUGUGUUUGCUACCAUUAACAGUGGUGCUAUAGCUGAAGAUGACGACGAUCAAGGAGAGAAUGGAAUUGAGCUCGACAUUCUCGGUCAUACUAAUCAAAGGAGGAUGGAUCGAGUAAGAAAUUUCUGUACACGACUAUAGUCAUAGGCGCCUCGUGGAAAAGAAAGAAGCGUGAUAUUUUAUUCCCGAACAAUGAAGAUGAUAUUGCUCUUUUCCGUUGACUGUUUAAACAGCAAAAUCAGAAAAAUGCAACAAGGACCCAUCGUUUGUCACAUAUACAGUAAUGCUAUUGUCAUUUCAAUUUGACGAAAAUUAGAAAUUUAUUAUAUAUAUAUAUAUAAAUGAA